RNAcentral lists this long non-coding RNA (862 nucleotides) under Homo sapiens (human). RNAcentral describes it as "HSALNT0402471". The record is from RNAcentral. Lineage: Eukaryota; Metazoa; Chordata; Mammalia; Primates; Hominidae.
CUUGCCGCCUCCCAGAGCCCCCAGGACCCAUCCCUGAGCUGUUUGGGGAGACACAGGCAACCCCUUCUUUGGCUGGCUAGGGUUUCACGAGCCUCGGGAAAGAAGAUGCAGCUAAAAUUAACCGCUAUCAAGCUGUCAGCCCUGGAAAUAAACCUGCCUCCCAUUGGCUGCCGGUGACGUCACUGCUGGGUUAAUAAUAGCCGCCGAGUGCCUAACGAACCACCUGUGCAUGGGGCACAGCCAGGCCAUCACCCCGGGGCCACCGUCGCAGGCAGGUGGAGGCUGGCAGCCCAGAGGCAGACAGGGGCUUGGAGGCAGGGUGGGGAGCAAGGCCAAGGCCGCUCUCUGGCCCCCAGUGUCACAGGAUGACCUCAGCCCUGGCCUGGCCCCAGAGCAGGUUGGUUCACUGCUGGGCCCUGUGGACUUGUUCUCAUGCUUUGUCAGUGUCGAUGUCGAAAGCCCAAAGUGUUUCCCAAGUCCUGCUACCUUGCCCAUAGAACACAGAAAGGUGAUAAGUCACUCUGUGAUUGGCUGCAUCAUUCCAGGCUCUGUCCUGGGGGACGGAGCAGCAAGACACCCCUGCUGUCUGUGAAGAUAUGGCUGUUGGAAGGCAUGGGAGGGGCCUCGUAUCAGGGAACCAGUGAGUGGCCCCAGGCUGCCAGCCAACAAGAAAGCAGGGACCUCAGUCCUACAGCCACAAGGAACUGAAUUCUGCCAACAACCACGUGGCCUUCAAAGAGGACCUCAAGCUUCAGAAAGAAAUACCAACACCUUGGUGGCACUCUUGAAACCCCGAGCCACCCAGCGGAAUUGUGUGUGGGCUCCUGACCCCCCAAAACUGAGAAUAAAUGCAUGUUUUUUA